This 2400-nucleotide ribosomal RNA is filed under the name Triticum aestivum (bread wheat). Its description in RNAcentral is "partial small subunit ribosomal RNA". The record is from RNAcentral. Lineage: Eukaryota; Viridiplantae; Streptophyta; Magnoliopsida; Poales; Poaceae.
AUGAUGGAAAGUGAAAUGGAAAAAGGAAGACCGUAUCAGGAGAAACCAAGAACGUUUUCCACUGUACGAAGUAAAUCAUCUAUACCGCUGGUCUUCCGUGUGUUGAUGAAGAUAAAUCCUCGUGCCCUGAUAGUUCUUCUUCUGCUGGUUGUCUGUGGUGUGUUCUACUUAGGAGCCAGUACAUCACCAAUUAUAGUCUUCGUGUUCUGUAUAUGCACUCUCAGUUUAUUCUUCUCUCUCUACCUCACAAAGUGGGUUCUUGCCAAGGAUGAAGGACCUCCAGAAAUGUCCGAGAUAUCUGAUGCCAUAAGGGAUGGCGCUGAAGGAUUUUUUAGGACACAAUAUGGGGCUAUUUCUAAAAUGGCUUGCAUCCUGGCACUUGUUAUCCUUUUCAUUUAUCUCUUUCGCACUAUCACCCCGCAGCAGGAGGCAUCAGGCCUAGGAAGGACAACAUCUGCAUAUAUUACAGUUAUUGCCUUUCUCCUUGGAGCUGUGUGUUCUGGACUAGCUGGAUAUGUUGGGAUGUGGGUCUCCGUACGUGCAAAUGUUAGAGUUUCAAGUGCUGCUCGACGGUCUGCAAGGGAAGCAUUGCAGAUUGCUGUCCGUGCAGGUGGUUUCUCGGCCAUCGUUGUUGUUGGCAUGGCUGUAUUUGGUGUGGCAUUACUCUAUGCAACAUUUUAUGUUUGGCUUGGAGUAGAUUCACCUGAUUCGAUGAAGGUUACAGACUUGCCUCUUCUCCUUGUGGGGUACGGUUUUGGUGCGUCGUUUGUUGCCCUCUUUGCUCAGUUGGGUGGUGGCAUAUACACCAAAGCAGCUGAUGUUGGAGCUGAUCUUGUUGGAAAGGUUGAGCAGGGAAUACCAGAAGAUGAUCCUCGUAAUCCUGCUGUCAUUGCUGACUUGGUUGGUGACAAUGUUGGAGAUUGUGCUGCCCGUGGUGCCGAUCUUUUUGAAAGCAUAGCAGCAGAAAUUAUCAGUGCAAUGAUACUUGGUGCAACAAUGGCACAGCGCUGCAAAAUUGAAGAUCCCUCUGGCUUUAUUCUGUUUCCUCUUGUUGUCCAUUCUUUUGACCUAGUGGUGUCAUCAGUUGGAAUUCUCUCAAUUAGGGGAACACGUGACUCUGGAUUAAUAUCCCCUAUUGAAGAUCCCAUGGCAAUUAUGCAGAAAGGCUAUUCUAUUACUAUACUGCUUGCUGUUCUUACCUUUGGAGGGUCUACUCGUUGGCUCCUGUACACUGAACAAGCACCUACUGCAUGGUUCAAUUUUGCCUUGUGUGGCUUGGUGGGCAUCAUCACAGCAUAUGCUUUUGUUUGGAUUUCCAAGUAUUAUACAGAUUAUAAGCAUGAGCCUGUCCGCCUUUUAGCUCUUUCAAGUUCCACAGGACAUGGAACUAAUAUUAUUGCUGGAGUAAGUUUGGGAAUGGAAGCAACAGCCUUACCAGUUCUAGUGAUAUCUAUAGCCAUUAUAUCAGCAUUUUGGUUGGGACGUACCUGUGGCUUGGUAGACGAGCUUGGCAAUCCAACUGGUGGUCUUUUUGGGACAGCUGUAGCUACAAUGGGAAUGCUUAGUACUGCAGCAUAUGUUCUCACCAUGGACAUGUUUGGUCCUAUAGCUGACAAUGCUGGUGGUAUUGUGGAGAUGAGCCAGCAGCCUGAAAGUGUUAGAGAAAUCACAGACAUUCUAGAUGCUGUGGGUAACACUACGAAAGCUACCACAAAGGGAUUUGCUAUAGGGUCAGCAGCACUGGCUUCCUUUCUCCUGUUCAGCGCAUAUAUGGAUGAAGUAGCUGCUUUUGCACAGUUGCCAUUCAAAGAGGUUGACAUAGCAAUUCCAGAGGUUUUUGUUGGUGGUUUACUAGGUUCGAUGCUUAUAUUCCUGUUUAGUGGAUGGGCUUGUUCAGCUGUUGGCAGAACUGCACAAGAAGUUGUUACUGAGGUCAGGAGACAAUUCAUUGAGAGGCCUGGAAUUAUGGAUUACAAAGAGAAGCCUGAUUAUGGUCGUUGUGUUGCAAUUGUGGCCUCUGCAUCCUUGAGGGAAAUGAUAAAGCCAGGGGCUUUAGCAAUUUUGUCUCCCAUGGCCGUUGGCAUCAUCUUUCGGAUUUUGGGCCAUGCUACGGGGCAGCCUCUCCUUGGAGCUAAAGUUGUCGCCUCUAUGCUCAUGUUUGCGACCGUUACUGGUAUCCUCAUGGCACUCUUCCUGAACACUUCCGGCGGUGCCUGGGAUAAUGCUAAGAAGUACAUCGAGACUGGUGCACUUGGUGGUAAAGGCAGUGAGGCUCACAAGGCUGCAAUUACUGGCGAUACGGUUGGAGAUCCAUUCAAAGACACGGCGGGGCCUUCGAUCCAUGUUCUCAUCAAGAUGCUCGCCACGAUCACACUGGUCAUGGCCCCUAUCUUCUUGUAA